GUAUGGCUCACUGGUAGAGCACCUGCCUAGCAAGCAUGGAGCUCUGAGAUCAAAUCUCAGUAC
This 63-nucleotide transfer RNA is filed under the name Dipodomys ordii (Ord's kangaroo rat). It matches the Rfam family "tRNA", at positions 5 to 66 of the family's 71-position model. From Rfam's summary of the family: Transfer RNA (tRNA) molecules are approximately 80 nucleotides in length. Their secondary structure includes four short double-helical elements and three loops (D, anti-codon, and T loops). The record is from Rfam by way of RNAcentral. Lineage: Eukaryota; Metazoa; Chordata; Mammalia; Rodentia; Heteromyidae.